CCCUUAGAUGUCCUGGGCCGCACGCGCGCUACACUGAUGCAUGCAACGAGUUUAUAACCUUGGCCUGAAAGGUCUGGGUAAUCUUUUGAACGUGCAUCGUGAUAGGGAUAGAUUAUUGCAAUUGUUAAUCUUGAACGAGGAAUUCCUAGUAAACGCGAGUCAUCAGCUCGCAUUGAUUACGUCCCUGCCCUUUGUACACACCGCCCGACGCACCUACCGAUUGAAUGGUUCGGUGAAGAUCUCGGACUUCGAUAUUUAUUCUUUAUUGAGUUUAUAUUGUGGGAAGUUAUCUAAACCUCAUCAUUUAGAGGAAGGUGAAGUCGUAACA
RNAcentral lists this ribosomal RNA (328 nucleotides) under uncultured eukaryote. RNAcentral describes it as "partial 18S ribosomal RNA". It matches the Rfam family "Eukaryotic small subunit ribosomal RNA", at positions 1470 to 1796 of the family's 1831-position model. The record is from RNAcentral.